This 350-nucleotide unclassified non-coding RNA is filed under the name plant metagenome. RNAcentral's name for it is "partial contains 5.8S ribosomal RNA, internal transcribed spacer 2, and large subunit ribosomal RNA". The stretch from base 1 to 105 matches the Rfam family "5.8S ribosomal RNA", at positions 50 to 154 of the family's 154-position model. The record is from RNAcentral.
GAAAUGCGAUAAGUAAUGUGAAUUGCUGAAUUCAGUGAAUCAUCGAAUCUUUGAACGCACCUUGCGCUCCUUGGUAUUCCGAGGAGCAUGCCUGUUUGAGUGUCAUGGAAUUCUCAACUCUAUUUGCUUUUGUGAAUAGAGCUUGGAUUUGGAGGUUUAUUGCUGGUACUUGUGAUCGGCUCCUCUUGAAUGCAUUAGCUCGAACCUUUGCGGAUCAGCUAUCGGUGUGAUAAUUGUCUACGCCGUUGCAGUGAAGCAUAUCAAUGGGCUCGGCUUCCAAUCGUCCUUUACUGGACAAUGACUUUGACCUUUGACCUCAAAUCAGGUAGGAUUACCCGCUGAACUUAAGC